CGACACUGUGGUGGCUUUGCUGAACGGAACCAACGCCGCCGAAGUUGUCCUCAACGUCCGUCCUCGUGCCGUCGAGCUAGCAUGUUCCCUUGUGUUGUGCCUCUACACCACGCAACAGUACCUUUGUGCGCCACCGACUUGAUCUUUUCCACAGGUCACACUCUGCGCCUUGCUGCCACCGGACGCCGCCUCGUCGAGAAGUACACCAGCUGCCAUAUUCCGGCUGAGAUCCUCUGGAUCCUCUCCACCCAGCCGCUGUCAUUGCAGGAGGACUUUGAUGAGUGGCUCGCCGACAGGCUGCCCCAAAUCUUACAA
This 315-nucleotide ribosomal RNA is filed under the name Triticum aestivum (bread wheat). RNAcentral describes it as "partial small subunit ribosomal RNA". Lineage: Eukaryota; Viridiplantae; Streptophyta; Magnoliopsida; Poales; Poaceae. The record is from RNAcentral.